This 261-nucleotide ribosomal RNA is filed under the name uncultured bacterium. RNAcentral's name for it is "partial 16S ribosomal RNA". It matches the Rfam family "Bacterial small subunit ribosomal RNA", at positions 524 to 782 of the family's 1533-position model. The record is from RNAcentral.
UACAGAGGGCGCGAGCGUUGUCCGGAAUCACUGGGCGUAAAGGGCGCGUAGGUGGUGGCUUAAGCGUGCGGUGAAAGCUCGGGGCUCAACUCCGAGUCGGCCGUGCGAACUGGGCUCACUGGAGCAUAGUAGAGGCAGGUGGAAUUCCGGGUGUAGCGGUGGAAUGCGUAGAGAUCCGGAAGAACACCAGUGGCGAAGGCGGCGUCCUGGACCGGUGCUGACGCUGAGGAGCGAAAGCGUGGGGAGCGAUCCGGAUUGAGA